Long non-coding RNA from Oreochromis aureus, 1210 nucleotides. NCBI's taxonomy places the organism in Eukaryota, Metazoa, Chordata, Actinopteri, Cichliformes, Cichlidae. The record is from Ensembl.
CACAACUGCGAAUGUUGCCCUAAUUAUUACACCAAAUUACGACAUCAACCUGCACAAUCAAACCAAAUCAACAGGAAGUUUCAGCCCAUGCUCACCCUUCCGCUUAUGAAACACCAGAUGAGGGGAAAGGAUGAGAAUCAUCCUUUAAGAACCGGGUGGAUCUGCAGGACAGACAGAUGAAGGAUGGAGACGUGUCUUUGGUUCAGAAGAAUGUGAGUUUUGGUGUUGAUGGAACAUGCAAGUGUCGUGUGAUCAUGAGAAGAACAUACUGGAUUAAAUACAUCAUCAACCUGGUUGUUGUUCCUCCAGGUGAGAUUUAACCGCUACAAACCAAACCGUUAUCUCUGAGAUGGAGAAGAGUGAGGAGGAUCGGCCUGGAUCACACGUUAGAAGUAUUUCACCAAGACUGAUAACUGCAUCAGUGUAAAAGUUCUUUAAAAAGAAAGGAACCAAAGAUCUGUGGAGUCUUUGCGCUUAUAUGAAAAACCCUGUAAGGACUUCACCAAACACUGCAGUAUAAAUGUAUUCAUAGCACAGCUCCUUCUAUAAUAACAAAGUGACACUCAGCUCUGUGCUAAUCCUCGGAGCUCAGAGUCCCACUGACAGUAACUGUAACCUCCAUCCCUCUGCUGUCAAACAUGAGCUUUAGACGUCUGAGCAAUUUAUAAGAACAAUGAGAAAAAACAACAGAACACAUUUAACAGAACACCAAACAUAUGUAGGAGAGCUGAUGUGAUCUAAAAGUUAACUCCUGUUUUCAUCUUUAGCCUGUGAUUGAAGCUGUGAGUGUUUUAUUGGUGUAACCCAGACAUACUUUUCAGGUCACAUUUGACAGCAGGAAAAUCCCCCACAUGUUAUUAUUUGAGCCUGAAAUUUAAUGAGUUUUCCUAAAAUUACUCACAAAAAUCAAAAUCUUAUUGUAAAGAACACACAGCAGACACAUCCACAUAUUCCUGCAUACUUUGCUGUUAUUCACCAGUUGCAUGCUAUGGCUUUCCAGUCGCUGGCCCAAGAUACACAACAACAACACCAUCUCAGGACCCAGUACGGUGAGGCAUGAUUGCAGAUUCCGCACCAUUGCAUCUAUCUCGCCGCAGCCACAACCCGCGACAGUCACAUUUGAAUACUGUUUUUAUGAUGUACGGGUGCUGCAGAUAUUUCUGACCUAUUGAGGUCGAUUUUGUCUCCACAAGCGUGCAUUAAGUCAGGG